RNAcentral lists this ribosomal RNA (346 nucleotides) under Chryseobacterium metallicongregator. Its description in RNAcentral is "partial 23S ribosomal RNA". It matches the Rfam family "Bacterial large subunit ribosomal RNA", at positions 1 to 410 of the family's 2925-position model. The record is from RNAcentral. Lineage: Bacteria; Pseudomonadati; Bacteroidota; Flavobacteriia; Flavobacteriales; Weeksellaceae.
AAAGAAAUCGUUAAGGGCGUAUGGCGGAUGCCUAGGCUUUCAGAGGCGACGAAGGACGUGGUAAGCUGCGAAAAGCUGCGGGGAUUGGCACACACGAAUUGAUCCGCAGAUAUCCGAAUGGGGCAACCCGGCAUGUUGAAGACAUGUCACCUCGUAAGAGGAGCAAACCCGGAGAACUGAAACAUCUAAGUACCCGGAGGAAAAGAAAUCGAAGAGAUUCCGUAAGUAGUGGCGAGCGAAAGCGGAUUAGCCCAAAAGUCUUUUUAUGUUUAAUAGAAUGUUCUGGAAAGAACAGCCGUAGAGGGUGAUAGCCCCGUAUAUGAAAGGCAUAUUAAGAUGAUAAAUG